AUGAAUGUCCCAGUUUCAGAUCCCAAAUUCACUUUUUUUUCUUUCAAGAAGUCAACUUCCCUUGUCCUGACCUCUCUCCUUCUCCUCACAAAUAACCUAGUCUCCUUUUCCUCACUCACGGUGGUCCCCCCGGGGCAGACCAGCUCUGCCUCCCUUUCACCCUCCUCUGUCAACCCUAAUCCUGCUCCCCUCUUUUCUUCCCAGCCUCCUCAGCUCCAUCUCAACGAGGCAGAAGAACAAAAGAACCAUAACAUGAGGGGAAAGAAGGAGCAGGCUAACCAAACAGAAGCACCAAAUAUGAGCCAGCGUCUCCCUCUCAGCUCUUUUCCACCAUCUUUGCCCACAAAGGUUUAUCACACAGAGAGGCCAGACACAAAUUCUUGAGUUCAGCAUGGAAAGACUGCAAGUGCUGCCUGCAACCACUAGAGUCCACAGUGGCUGCAUGUAUUGAAUUUCAAGAGGCUGCAGGCAAUGAAGGAAAAAGAUAGACAAGCAACGCUUCCGUCACACACUUAUUCAGAAUUAAAUUCCACAAAGUUUAACACAGCCUGCUUUCUGUUUAUACAGUCCAAAUCUGUGUAUGCAAACUCUGAAGUAUGGCUAAAUUCCAAAAAAAAAAAAAACUUACUGCCAAUUAAUGUAUAGGACUGCACCUUCAGUGUUUUAGCUUGCAGCUGUGAUCCUGUACACACUUACAAAGAAUACAUCCUACUGAGCACAGCAGGGCCUACUUCUGAGUACACAUAUGUAGGCUGAGUGUACGCCAACCAGAAUGUUGAGUUGCAUUACAAGGGCCACCACUAUAUCCUCUUUUGCAUUAUCAGUAGUGGGACGUUUGCCUAAGUUGUGAGGCAGACAGACAACAAAAUGUAGUCCUCAUGUACAAAGUUAUGGACUGAACCACAACCUACCUGCAAGAACAACAGAUAGUAACUUGGAAGUUGGCAAAACACAUCAGAUUCCCGCCAACUAAAGCAGAGUGACCCAUGAGCUUUUGUCUCUGAGCUCUCUUCUCUUUUACAGGGACUUUUCUGUCAUCCACAACAAAAGCAGGUAUCUUGCAGGGACAAAGCAGAUCCCUUUUCUUCCCCAAGUAUGUAAUAAGGUAUCUGAAAAAUGCUUAAAAUCUUCCUAUUGAAUUUAACUUUAUAAAGAUAACACAAAAGGUCACACAAAUAUAUGAGCUUGCAAGACUUCCAAAGCGUUCAUCUGAUAAGAUGGUACAAAGCUAGUUGAGCAUGGUGGACAGGAGUGGGAUUUCUUAAAAGGGUAAUUUUAUAUUGAAUUAAUGGUAUCUGCAUGCUCAGGCUAAGAUGAAAUGGUGAUGGAACCACUACAUGUUCAACAUCCAGUUAGCACUUCCACCUUCUAUACAUCUGCUUUUCAGAUUAUUUUGCCUUGAAAACUUACAUAUUUUUGUGACUUUUGAGAUGGCCUAAUAAUAAUAAUAAUUUUUUAAAAAGGGAUGUGGUGCCGCUGAAGGUUAAACUGCAGAAGCCUCUGUGCUGCAAGGUCAGAAGAUCAGCAGACGUAAGAUCGAAUAUACGCAACGGAGUGAGCUCCCGUCACUUGUCCCAGCUCUUGCUAACCUAGCAGUUUGCAAGCAUGUAAAUGCAAGUAGAUAAACAGGUACCACCAAGGUGAGAAGGUAACAGUGUUCCAUGUCUAGUUGCGCUGGCCCCGUGACCAUGGAAACUGUCUACAGACAAACUCUGGCUCUACGGUUUGGAAAUGGGGAUGAGCACUGCCCCCCUUACCUUUCCCUUAAUAAAUUAAAUAUGGAUUUUAAAACUUUCA
Molecule: long non-coding RNA, 1797 nt
Filed under: Pogona vitticeps (central bearded dragon)
Lineage: Eukaryota; Metazoa; Chordata; Lepidosauria; Squamata; Agamidae
Description: lncRNA (ENSPVIG00000014933.1)
Source: RNAcentral